GACGAACGCUGGCGGCGUGCUUAACACAUGCAAGUCGAACGGAAAGGCCCUGCUUUUGUGGGGUGCUCGAGUGGCGAACGCGCGAGUAACACGUGAGUAACCUGCCCUUGACUUUGGGGUAACUUCAGGAAACUGGGGCUAAUACCGGAUAGGAGCUCUUGCUGCAUGGUGGGGGUUGGAAAGUUUCGGCGGUUGGGGAUGGACUCGCGGCUUAUCCGCUUGUUGGUGGGGUAGUGGCUUACCAAGGUUUUGACGGGUAGCCGGCCUGAGAGGGUGACCGGCCACAUGGGGACUAAGAUACGGCCCAGACUCCAACGGGAGGCAGCGGGGGGGAAUAUUACACAAUGGGCUGGAGCCUGAUGCAGCAGCGCCGCGUGCGGGAUAACCGCCUUCGGGUUAUAAACCGCUUUCGCCUGUGACGAAGCGGUAGUGACGGUAAUGGGUAAAGAAGCACCGGCUAACUACGUG
Molecule: ribosomal RNA, 468 nt
Filed under: uncultured bacterium
Lineage: Bacteria
Description: partial 16S ribosomal RNA
Rfam family: Bacterial small subunit ribosomal RNA
Source: RNAcentral